AAAACGGAGCUUCUCAAUUUAAUGAACUUUCACCUAGCAAGCAGGCCAUUGGUCUGUCUAGCUCGAUAUUGUAGUUCAAUAUUGUCUGCACUAACCGGCAGCGGCUCUCAAACAGGGGGCAUUCCCACCUUACCGGAAGAUGCCAAGAGCUGAACCUAGGACAAAGUAUGUGAUCUGAAACUAAUAUAUUACCCUUUCUCGAUUACUCUGUAAUGUACAAUGUAAUGGCAUUUCUGGAGUAGAGGGUGUGAGAAACCCCUUAAUAAACGUGUUCCUGGAAUGUCUGUAUUUCAGACGGAGGCAUUUGCGAGGAAUUGCGCUGACCUCGUAUUAUCAUUACUUAUUAUUAAUAGCGAACCAUCGGUGCAGGCGCGCUUUAUCAUUUGACAAACGGAGGGAUCCUGCGGAGGGGCAAAUCAUUCCCUGAAGCAAGAGACUUACCCCCACGUUAUACCGUUCCAGUCAUGAUUCCUGUAAAGACGCACCUCAACAAAAGUUGUUGCCUUUAAAACUUUUUUUAUUUGUUCUUUCUCUCUCAAAAAAAGUUACAUAAACAAUGGCAGCGGAAUUUGUUAAAAAAUAAACGGAUCGUGUAAAAAGUCGUUUGGUUUAAAAAAAGAUAAAACAGAACCAGUAGCAAACAUCCAGUAAUAAAUAAACAACCUGUCGCUAAAACAUCACAAAAGCAAAUGAAAUGGACAUAAAUGUUUGACACGACAAACAAAAAUGGUAGUUUCCCGCGUUCCCUUCCCCCCACCCCAUGCUGUUUGCAAAUGAGUUUAAUAAUGACGAUUAGAGACAUGGCUGAGUUCGACAUUGGUAUAUUAAUCCAAUUGGCAGUGAGUCGCUUUUCUUUUGGAGCCGCGUCUCUCAGUCUCCACUCCCGGCGGCUUAUAAAGUGCUUGCGCCAAAUCCCACCUACAGAAGACGCCAACAUUCGGUUUGGAUGAACGUUGAGGAAAAGCUAAGCAGGAUACAAACAAAAAACCGCUCCCCCUAUUUACAGCCCGGGAAGAAAGGGAUACCCACGAACGCUGCCCUCUCCACCGGUCCUCCUCGUUUGCGCUUAGAAUUUGUACAGCGACUCUGUAUUCGGGAUGCUUUGCAAGCGGCCAGGUUGCAAGGAAAGGCACUUGCCUUUUCGCUAGCAAAAGCCAAACACCCCUUGGGCUGACGGGGACACCGGGGCGGAUGGCUAGAAGGCAGGUCCGCCUAGGGACCCCUCGCUCCGGAGGAAUUGAUCCUAAGCGAACUCUAUUGGAAGGAAGGCUGCAGUCAUGAGCGCACAAGAGCCCCACUGAACACGCUGGGGGACUGCUUAUGUAACUAAGCGCGGAAGUAGAUUGAUUUACAUCAAGGGGGAUUCCUUGCAAGUACAUGUAGCGAGGACAAAACAGCCCUGCGUUUGGGAAGGCGGAGGGGCGCACACCAAGUCGGCGGACCCAAAAGAACCGACAACCAAACUCAGACCACUAGUAUAACCACAAUCUUCAGGCUCCCCAGGGAAGCUUGUGGGACGGAUGCAGCGAGG
Non-coding RNA from Podarcis lilfordi (Lilford's wall lizard), 1531 nucleotides. The record is from the annotation of a GenBank genome assembly. Lineage: Eukaryota; Metazoa; Chordata; Lepidosauria; Squamata; Lacertidae.